UUUUGAAUCUAUUGAAAAGUAGGUUUAUAUAAUUUAGAGAAUUUUUAAGAAAUCGCCUAUAAAAUGUUUAAUGAUUUUUAUUUUUUAUUGAGCAAGAUUACUGUGCUAUUAGGAGCUCAUCCUUUCUAUUUCUAAGUUUUUAAUUAUUCAUCAAUUUUGAUGGAUGGUUAGGAUGAGAGAGAAAAAAAAUUUGAGAAAAAAUUAAGGAGUUAAGCUAGAAUACUCUCAAAAGUACCAUGAAGGUGAUGCUUUUGAGUUUUAGCCAUUGGAUAGAGAGAUGUGAGGUUGAGAUGAUGAUGAUGAUGGUUGGUGGUGGUAGGUGUAAUAUUGUUUGAUCAAAAAGCUAUUAGUAAUCAAGGAGUAAAUCCAAGGGCCAGAAACUUAGAAGCACAAAGGGAUUGGUGCUUUUAAAAAUAUUCUAGCUCAAUUCAAAAAUUAAGUAUCUCAAAUUUUUUUUUUAAAAUUUAUUUUCAAUUUCUUUUUUCUCUCUCAUCUUAAUCACCUAUUAAAAUUAAUAAAUAGUUAAAAUUUAAACCAAUUGUCCUUAACGCAAGUGGCAAAAAGACUUGAUGGUUAGUAUCCGAAAUCCAAGUUCGAAUACUAGUUGAUUUAUAUUUCAAGCUAAAUUUAUUUUUAAAUAAAAUAAACGAAGCGAAUAGUAUGCUAUUUUUUUCUAAAAAA
RNAcentral lists this long non-coding RNA (681 nucleotides) under Ananas comosus (pineapple). RNAcentral describes it as "long non-coding RNA (ACOM_LNC020412)". Lineage: Eukaryota; Viridiplantae; Streptophyta; Magnoliopsida; Poales; Bromeliaceae. The record is from RNAcentral.